UUAAAUACAAUGAUGAAGAGAUGACAAGAUAACGGUUGAUGCAGAGAGCUGAUGGUUGGUGAAAAUCAGUGAUACCUUCUUGAAUAGCACUUCUGAGUAGGCUUAUCGAAUAACAGUAGGUAAGUUCCGGGAUCUCCGUUAUGAAUUGAGUUAUGUAAUGAAUGUAUUUACAUAAAUGAGGGUGGUACCGCGCUUAAUCGCCCCUCAC
Molecule: non-coding RNA, 208 nt
Rfam family: T-box leader
About the family: Uncharged tRNA acts as the effector for transcription antitermination of genes in the T-box leader family. T-boxes are found upstream of many aminoacyl-tRNA synthetase genes and some amino acid biosynthetic genes usually in Gram-positive bacteria.